RNAcentral lists this ribosomal RNA (321 nucleotides) under uncultured bacterium. Its description in RNAcentral is "bacterial SSU rRNA". It matches the Rfam family "Bacterial small subunit ribosomal RNA", at positions 29 to 334 of the family's 1533-position model. The record is from RNAcentral.
AACGAACGUUAGCGGCGCGCUUAACACAUGCAAGUCGAGCGAGAAAGGGCUUCGGCCCCGGCAAAGCGGCGCACGGGUGAGUAACACGUAGGUAACCAACCCCCUGGUGGUGGACAACCUUCCGAAAGGAGGGGCUAAUACAGCAUAAGACCACGAUCUCUUCGGAGAUUGAGGUUAAAGCCGGCCUCUUCAUGAAAGCUGGCGCCAGAGGACGGGCCUGCGGCCCAUCAGCUAGUUGGUAAGGUAAUGGCUUACCAAGGCUAAGACGGGUAGCUGGUCUGAGAGGAUGAUCAGUCACACUGGAACUGAGACACGGUCCAG